UAAAAAUAAAUCCUUCCUGGUUUUCAGGAGGUGGCGGGGUCCUUCAGCAGGAGAGAGAGCGAGACACACCCAAAAAGAGAGAUCGAUAGCGAAAAACCUUACCGCAGAGGAAGAAUCGUUUUUUGCUGCCUUUAAGUACCUGGGGCUGUGCCGAUAAUAAAAGGGGGUUAAGUAGUGGGGGUAGGGGGCGGAGGGGCAGAUGGGGCUGGUAACGCAGCUGGGCAGAUGCCAAAAAAAGCAGAACAAAACACGUUUUCGUUUUGUCUGCACCAGCCUGCGACAGAGAGCGAGCGAGAGAUGCACAGUGAAAAAGCUGCUGUGCUCGGAAACGGGCCUACAGCCACUUUGGAAGCCUCGGCAAUAAUUCUCUCCCUUCCUUGCCUUCACCCUGCCCACUCUGGCUCGACUGCCAAGUCGCAGAGUUGGCACGGCUUCCCAGGCAGCGCGGAACAAAGCCGUCACCCAUCCCUGAACAGGCGCUGACGGCAGGCUAAGUGACAGGCGCAUCUUCUGCAUGUUAAUCCAAGGGGUGAGGAGGAGAGAGCAAAAUCCACCGGCUCCCCUGCCACCCCGGCACCGGCCACUCCUUUCCAGCCCAAGCCCCGGUGGGCCCUGCGCACAGUUCGGAAGGCAGGAGCCCUGGAGAAAGAGAGCUGGCCGCGCCGGCAAGUCAAACAAACAAACAAGCACAGGAUUUAAAUACAAACCACCACCCGAGCCAGCAGCACCCUGGCAAACAAGGCCGCUCAGCAUCUGCUGUACCUGUUCCCGCUGCCUUCAUCUCGCCUUGGAACCGUGACAAGAGAGAAGCGUCGCCUCUGGUGGGCUCUCUCAGCCUCGGGUCUGCAACCCUGUGCAGGAAGUUGGCACCGAUCCCAGGCUGCUGUGAAGAGAGGCCGCGGAGCAAGCAUCACAUUUGCAAGGUCUUCACCAUCUCUUGUGGAAUCCUGCACCUGUACAAAACUCUCAUGGGACAUUUCCAUCUCCAGAGCGGCAGGGACAGACAAACACACUGCCCAGCACAUGUACAAACCUCAGUGAGCUUCACAUCUGGGAAGAUGCGACUGCCUUUGCUUCUCCUCCACAUCCCGGCUCCCCCUUCCCACACUGCAGAGCGGAUUCAUCGCCGCUUUCACAGACGACAAAAGUGACGAUUAAAAGGGCUGGCUCCUUAUAAUCAUCCAUUAAACCUUCUCAAAAUCCUAAACUCUUUGCCAUUUCAAAGCUGGUCUUUCUCAGGAGGAACAAUGGGACUGGGUAAGUCUAACAGGAACCACCUGGCUUGGUGUUACUUGUUUUGGGUAGUUUCCCUCCAACGCUACCAUGGGGACGUAUUUUGCCCCAAUUCCUAAGCUGGACUUGCCAACCCUGACAGAGAAACCAGCCACCCUCCCUUCAGGACACCUGAGCUGUUCCCCAGCUCCAACAGACACCACCAGGCUUAAGCAACAGAAUCCCAGGUUUCCAGUAGUAUUUCGUAUGAGCUUUAGGCCUGCUCUACACUACACCGUUAAGUCAACACAAGGAACCUUACGUUGACCAAGUUGUGGAUGUGUCAUUUAGAAGAUCAGUCUCUUCUAGAUGACUGACCCCUUGGGCGGGUGCUUAAGACAGAUCUUGUUAAGAACAUAAGAAUGGCCCUACUGAGUCCAUCUAGCCCAGUAUCCUGUCUUCCGACAGUGGUCAAUGCCAGGUGCUUCAGAGGAAAUGAACAGAACAGGGAAUCAAGUGACCCCUCCCGUUGGCCAUUCCCAGCUUCUGGCAAACAGAGGCUAGGGACACCAUCCCUGCCCAUCCUGGCUAAUAGCCCUGGAUGGACCUAUCCUCCAUGAAUUUAUUGAACUGUAUUAUAGUCUUAGCCUUCACAACGGCCUCUGGCAAGGAGUUCCACAGGUUGACUGUGUGUUGUGUGAAGAAACACUUCCUUUUGUUUCUCUUAAACCUGUGCCUAUUAAUUUAACUGGGUGACCCCUAGUUCUUGUGUUCUGAGGAGUAAAUAACACCUCCUUAUUUAUUUUCUCCACACUUGAAUGAUUUUACACUACCGUAUCCCCUCUUAGUCAUCCCUUUCCCAAGCUGAAAAGUCCCAGUCUUAUUUACUCUCCUCAUUGUGCUAUAUAAGCACAGCCCACUCUUGCAAGAUGCUGAGCACCUAGAACUCACAGCAGAGCCAAUGGGAAGUCAGGGUACUCAGAAGCUCAUAACCAGUGACUGCAACGUCAUGGGGGUUAGUACAUCCCCGGGUUUUCAAGGGAAUUCCAACGAGGUGGAAGGGUCUCAGCAAUGAGUCAACCAAGCUUCCUGGCAUAGAGGGGAUCAGAACCUAGGCUGCUGGCCUCAAACAGGAGGGACAACGGAGGAAUUAAGCUGUAAAUUAGCACUUCAGGCCUCUUCAAAGUCUCCUCCAACAGCCGUAGCCAUCCAAGGAAAGCCACAUACCCUUCUGAUCACAAGGAGCGCUUACGGCGUGGCCCCAUCUUGUCAACAUCCCACUGCCACCUGAGGGUACUCUCUUGGGGAGGCCUCUCCUCACUCUGCUGAUGGUAGCAGUACGAUUAUACCUGUACAUCCAAUGGCAUAAGCCCCAGCGAACCAGGGUUUUGCACACUUAUGUGUCGAGAGGGGAUUCAUCUCCUCUCAACUCGGUGACUUUGCUGUGCUGGACUACAAGCUCCUUGAGAUGGCGCCCACUUCACGCUUUGUUGCGCUUUGGGUCGGGAGCGAGGUGGCCCCAAGGGGAAGAUGAAUUAUAUGUGAUUUGGCAAGAUCGCCUUGAUAGGAUUCAGUGCCUGAAAAAAGCCCUGGGUCUGGAUGCUCAAAAAAAUGUCCUCUCUACUUCUCUCUCAUCCACCCAAGCUGUCUACCACUCCUGUCUAGGCCCUUCCAUCACUUUCCCCACUCCCUCCUCCUAGGUUCCAAGCACCUUCUAGUCUACCAGCUGCCCUUCCCCAUAGCCAGGGUGAGAUUCUGGCUCAGAUCCUCAAAGGUAUUUAGAUGCCUAAAUCCCAUUUUCAAUAGAAGUUAUGUGCCUAAACAACAUCAAGGAUCUAGGCCUCUGUCCCCAUCAGAUACUGAAUCGGAUACCCAUAUACAUACCCAGUUAUGCCCCAGGAUCCAGCCAUUCUGCCCAACUACAAAGGUAGCAGUGAGAUCCAGUUUCAUCACCACUUCCCAGCCCCUCCGCUGUGGAUUUUCUUUCCAACACAACAUGAGCACCCAAAAUGCUGCUGACUCAUACCUGCCUUUGCUUCCCCUUCAUAAACAGCACCUUACAAUGCCUCAGGGUGACCAGAUGUCCCGAUUUUUAUAGGGACAGUCCCGAUAUUUGGGACUUUUUCUUAUAUAGAUGCCUAUUACCCCCCACCCCCGUCCUGAUUUUUCACACUUGCUGUCUGGUCACCCUACAGUGCGCUCUCUGGGAGCUGCUGGAAUCGUAACAGGCAAGGCGAGCAGCUGAAAUUGUCCAUCCCAGCCUGGUCUAUCGAAUCAGGGGCUUCGCAGUGUCCCAGGCUCGCAGUGAGCUAGAACAGCUCACCUUAACACUAGGUCAAGCACAAACUGACCAGGAUCACUCACUGCUGCCUGAGCUCCACCCUCCUCCCCAAGGCACAGUGUCCUAAGUCACCGUUAGAGCAGAAGAGGAGCUCUCAGGGCUCCUCAUCCCUAACAAACCAUCUUGCCCAGCCAGGUGCUGUAACAGUGCUAGACACAGCCAAGCCCCCGCUGUUGUUCCAAAGCAGGAAGGAUGAAAGCCUGGUGACUCCACCUCCUCAAAAGCAGGAAUCAGCUGCUCUUUGCCUACAUGCAGCUUGUGUGGGAGGGGAGAAAGCAAACAUUCCUAUCCUCGUUAAGGGCAUACUCUGCAGGAACACGCCUGGGGCCUGCAGUAGGAAUGGCUCUGCAGCUAGCUGGGGACCCACGAGAACCCUCCGUGCAUGGGGUGUUGCAGCGUCUUCCUUUGUCCACGGGCACUUCGACACCACCGCACUGGGCCCACCAGAACCACUUCCAUUUCCUUUCACGCAGCCCAUGUGUGUGUGAGAGAAUCUUCUCGGACUCUCUUAGCAGAAAGGAGGCUGUGACAGGCCACAAGGGAGCAGGGCUGCGGGAAGGAAAAGGAAGUGAAGCCAGGCCAAUUGUGGUAGGGCUGGAAUGAAACACCAGCCAUUAUGCAUGGGGCUUUCAUAGCUUCCCUGCGCUUAAAUGAAAACCUCGGGCUGGUUUGACACCACCGCGGUGAAGAGGAAGCCACACUAACAGAAGCCCAGCUCAGAGAGGCUCAUCGGAGCUUCCUUGUAACUAGUGCAACAAAGCCAUGAUCACCUAGGACUUUAUGGCAGCCAUGCAGAGCGUCACAGGGAGAGAACUCAGCCUCCCACUGCAAAAGCCAGAGGCCCUUACCACUUAGGAAAAUCCCUGUUAGCAGUUCAAAGCCCAUGACACAUGGUUGGGCAGGGCUGACUCCAUCCAGCAGUGCCUAGACACCAGCCAGUGCGUUAUUCUUUCUUCUUGAGCAACCCUUUCAUGCUGAAUUUGCAAACCAAAACAAAUUUGAAGGGUAGUUAGCUACAAGGAUUCCGUUGCCAGAGGAAAAUUAGGCGCAACCCUGAUCCACCUUUUGCUUUUUCUUACCAUGUGUGUGAUCUCAGUCAUGAAGCCCUGUUUCUGGCCUCUCUCCUUCCUAGACACUUGAGAGCUGAUAAACCCAAUCUCUCUUCCCAGCUAAAGGCUUUUGAUAACAGCUGAGCAGCAACAGAGAGCGGGUGAGCCCCACCCUUCAGAUUCCAGGUAAAAGGUGAGAGAAGCGAGUCACUAUUCAAACACUGGCUGCUCAUUUGCCCACUAGGUGGGAGAGAACAAACUGACACAGAUUCUCAUAGGUACCUGUUCUCUGUACUGAUGUCUCUGGGGAAUUGGGCAUCUUUAUGUAACUAUACGUCACCUCCAAUCCCCACUUUGCAGCUGGCUCUGCCCUCUCCAGAAUGGACUGACACCUAAACUCUUCCAGUGUUUGGGAUCCCAAACCCAGAUCACCAGAGGUAUUUUAGACUCCUAAAUUUGAUUCAGGUGUAUCAGAUUCUUUUUGAUCAACCUGUACUCAGCCUAGUCAGUUUCCUAUGGGGCAAAGUUGGCCCAGAAUCAUAGAAAUGCAGGGGCUGGAAGGGACCUGGAGAGGUCAUCUAGUCCACCUCCCUGCACUGAAAGCAAGACCAUGUAUACCUAGACCACCCCCAUCAGUCGCUGAAAGGCUUAACAGAAGGAAUCUGAAUUUCCAGCAGUCACUCCCCUUUGGAAUAACACUGGUUAACCUUAAAUAAGGAACCUUUAGAUGACUGGAAAGCUGACAGACCUGGGGUUUAAUAAUAAAUGAAUGCACCACAUUAAAGAUAAUGAUGAAACUCCCAAAGCCCAAGAGGUUGUUCUUAGUUUUAUUUUAGAGUACAGUCAAAUCCUCUGGAACUAAUCUCACAGUUACAGAAUAUGGCCAUGCAUUUCUUGUUCCUCUUUAACAAACCAUAUCAAAGGGAUGAUGGGGGGAGGGGUAAAGGGAGGCUAGGCCUGAUCCCAUAACACUGGUGGGAAGUGAGGUUCUUGCUUGAAGUAGCUGUGAUUCCAAAGGCUGCAAAGCCUUUCAGUUACACAUCUCACUCAAAACAUACCCUGCGGUCAGGCCUUGGAAGUGUGAAACAAGCCCAUUUGUACCAGUGAAGCACCCCAGUAAUGACAGAUCAGGACCCUGAGGCCCUAGGUAUGGAAGAUGCUGGUUGUCCCAUUCACCAAAUGAAUCCCUGCAUAUUCCAGGAACCACGUCAAUCCAGACAGAGCUUUCUCUGGCCACCCUGGGGGCAGACUAUGCAGGAAAGCACCACAGGGCGGCCGUCUCUGUCUCUCACUUCAUUGUGCGUUAGGAAAAUUGCGACAAUCACUAAUGCAUUUGUUCCUGGACCUGGAAAGCUCUUCUGGGGCCUACUUAAGGAAGAUGAAAGCACGCAUGUUUGGAAUGGAUGUAAAGGACUGCUUCGCAGUACGAGCAAGACAGGGAUUAAAAUGGAGGGGAAAGCUGCCUGGCCUUAGUAGCAGCACAGAAUGCAGAUAAAACCUCUGUCUCAGAAGCUGUAGAUAAAUCCCACUCCGCGACCAGGUAAGCUCUGCUACAUGAGGCCCCAAAACACCAACACAUGCGCCUUAGUGUCUCUGAAGUGCACAGAGACUCAAUGAAAUUCACUGUCCGAUAUUCUCUUCACUCUUCCUGCUUUAAGUUUGUUCCAUUACUCUAGUCAGCGGCUAAUAAACAGACUUAAUGUUCACAUUUAAAGUUAAGCCGAUUCAUUUUGUAGCAACCUUACCUAUUAGCAAAUUGAACUAAUAUAAAAAAAAAUGCUGUUCAUUGGCACUUUGGAAGUAAGAUGGCACAUUUCUGGUCUAGCUGUAUCAAGUAUCGGUGCUUCGAUCUGCCAGAGGCAGCAAUUGAAGCUGUUGUCUGAGUUUGGUCCUGGUUGGCUUUGAGUCACCACUGUGACUCUCUGUGGCCAGUACAGGAAUAGACACAUGCCAGCUCAGACUAAUGGUCCAUCUAAUCCCAUAUCCUAUCUCACACAGCAGCCAGGGAAUAUUCUUUUUGUGCACACUUACGUGUCAAGUUUAGUUGGGAGUUUAGCAGUGAGUCCCAUAGAUUAUAUUCUUAAAUCCCUGUUGCAGCAGGUUCACAAUUAGAGUCAGGCCUUUCUUCUCACACCCCUAGCCAUGCACUAGCUGCAUAAUCCUCCCCAAAGUGCUCUGCUCAUUCUAGUUCAAGCCCCAACACUUCCCCUGAGAGACACUUCCAGUUUUAUUAAUCUCACUGUGACUUCUUGUUCUUGUCUCAGUCUCAGUUUCCUUUUAAUUUAAUAAGAUUAUUUCCCAUAACACCCCCUUGGAAAGCAUCUUGUUCCUUGGUGUUCAUAUACCCUUCAAGAGCUUGAAUGUGGGAGACAUGGGGUAUUCAAAGCCAGGAUGGAGCUGCUUGGCAGGUUUCUGGCUGAUGAAAUGUCCUCCAGAGCGAAGGAUAUAUUACUGGUUAUCUGGAGGUGGUACUUUACCAGGAAUGGGACUUAACAUCCUCAUCCCAGCCUGGUCUCUGCCUCCUUUAACCCUUUCUGGCUCUGACGACUCACAUUCAUGUCAAGAUGGAAGGUGCUUCAGUAGACCAAGAACUUACAAAGAGGAUGUUCACUAAGGCGAAGGCUGGAGACGAGAGCGCUAAGAAGCUUAGGCUCGCUUAUUGCAUCACUAUGCGGCACAAAAAGGGAUGGCCAGGGUUUGGCGUGAUCCGGUCAGCAGGGCAAAUUCAGACGUUGCUGCUUUCCAGUUAACAUCUCCCAAGUAUGUGCUGCCUAAAGCCGCUUCUUGUCCCUGCACCUGGAUCCCUGAUAGUCUCUCUGGGCUGGGCUGUUUAAACACCUGGGUAUUAUCCACUUUUAAACAAACAGACUGUCCCUUCUGACUCAAGAACUGCAAGCUGAGCCAAAGAGCCAACACCCUUCUGCUCUGACUGGUACGUCAUGGUCAAACCAAC
This is a long non-coding RNA of Malaclemys terrapin pileata, 7555 nucleotides long. RefSeq lists it as uncharacterized. The transcript has 2 exons. The record is from RefSeq and is a predicted model, not a curated record. NCBI's taxonomy places the organism in Eukaryota, Metazoa, Chordata, Testudines, Emydidae.